RNAcentral lists this ribosomal RNA (425 nucleotides) under uncultured bacterium. RNAcentral's name for it is "partial 16S ribosomal RNA". It matches the Rfam family "Bacterial small subunit ribosomal RNA", at positions 354 to 796 of the family's 1533-position model. The record is from RNAcentral.
GUGGGGAAUAUUGGACAAUGGGCGCAAGCCUGAUCCAGCCAUGCCGCGUGAGUGAUGAAGGCCUUAGGGUUGUAAAGCUCUUUCAGUGGGGACGAUAAUGACGGUACCCACAGAAGAAGCCCCGGCUAACUUCGUGCCAGCAGCCGCGGUAAUACGAAGGGGGCUAGCGUUGUUCGGAUUUACUGGGCGUAAAGCGCACGUAGGCGGUUUGUUAAGUCAGGGGUGAAAUCCCGGAGCUCAACUCCGGAACUGCCUUUGAUACUGGCAAGCUAGAGUCCGGAAGAGGUAAGUGGAACUCCUAGUGUAGAGGUGGAAUUCGUAGAUAUUAGGAAGAACACCAGUGGCGAAGGCGGCUUACUGGUCCGGAACUGACGCUGAGGUGCGAAAGCGUGGGGAGCAAACAGGAUUAGAAACCCGUGUAGUCC